This 280-nucleotide unclassified non-coding RNA is filed under the name Hevea brasiliensis (rubber tree). The record is from RNAcentral. Lineage: Eukaryota; Viridiplantae; Streptophyta; Magnoliopsida; Malpighiales; Euphorbiaceae.
GGCCUCCUCUGCCGUUGGCGGUUAUGGUGGGCAGGCCUCCUCCUCCGCCGCCGCUAGCUCUCUUCUGGGUAGUGAAGUUCUCUUGCCCCAUAUUAAAGUUAACUCCGUCAAAUUAUAGACUCAGAUGUGACAAUCAGAGAGAGAGACACACACAAUUUCUCUCUCUUCUGUUCGAGUAGUAUUUUAGCGUGUGGAUCUGGAAGGCAUUUAAUAAUAAUAAUAACAGUUAAAAGAAUUGUAUUCUCUCAGCUGUGAAAGGCUUGGAAGCGGAGGAAAAAUG